Molecule: ribosomal RNA, 183 nt
Filed under: uncultured Streptococcus sp.
Lineage: Bacteria; Bacillati; Bacillota; Bacilli; Lactobacillales; Streptococcaceae
Description: partial 16S ribosomal RNA
Rfam family: Bacterial small subunit ribosomal RNA
Source: RNAcentral
UCCUUGACUAGGGCUACACACGUGCUACAAUGGUUGGUACAACGAGUUGCGAGUCGGUGACGGCGAGCUAAUCUCUUAAAGCCAAUCUCAGUUCGGAUUGUAGGCUGCAACUCGCCUACAUGAAGUCGGAAUCGCUAGUAAUCGCGGAUCAGCACGCCGCGGUCGAAUACGUUCCCGGGCCUU